CCUACGGGAGGCAGCAGUGGGGAAUAUUCGACAAUGGGGGGAACCCUGAUCGAGCGACGCCGCGUGAGUGAAGAAGUAUUUCGGUAUGUAAAGCUCUAUCAGCAGGGAAGAAAAUGACGGUACCUGGCUAAGAAGCCCCGGCCAACUACGUGCCAGCAGCCGCGGUGAUACGUAGGGGGCAAGCGUUAGACGGAUUUACUGGGUGUAAAGGGAGCGUAGACGGUGCAGCAAGUAUGAUGUGAAAGGUGGGGGCCCAACCCCGGGACUGCAUUGGAAACUGUUGAACUGGAGUACAGGAGAGGUAAGCGGAAUUCCUAGUGUAGCGGUGAAAUGCGUAGAUAUUAGGAGGAACACCAGUGGCGAAGGCGGCUUACUGGACUGUAACUGACGUUGAGGCUCGAAAGCGUGGGGAGCAAACAGGAUUAGAUACCCCUGUAGUC
This 440-nucleotide ribosomal RNA is filed under the name uncultured bacterium. RNAcentral's name for it is "partial 16S ribosomal RNA". It matches the Rfam family "Bacterial small subunit ribosomal RNA", at positions 338 to 795 of the family's 1533-position model. The record is from RNAcentral.